This 2875-nucleotide ribosomal RNA is filed under the name Helicobacter pylori SA162A. RNAcentral's name for it is "bacterial LSU rRNA". It matches the Rfam family "Bacterial large subunit ribosomal RNA". RNAcentral also lists the same sequence under 1 other name. Lineage: Bacteria; Pseudomonadati; Campylobacterota; Epsilonproteobacteria; Campylobacterales; Helicobacteraceae. The record is from RNAcentral.
UUAAGAGCAGAUGGCGGAUGCCUUGCCAAAGAGAGGCGAUGAAGGACGUACUAGACUGCGAUAAGCUAUGCGGAGCUGUCAAGGAGCUUUGAUGCGUAGAUGUCCGAAUGGGGCAACCCAACUAAUAGAGAUAUUAGUUACUCUAAUACAGAGAGCGAACCUAGUGAAGUGAAACAUCUCAGUAACUAGAGGAAAAGAAAUCAACGAGAUUCCCUAAGUAGUGGCGAGCGAACGGGGAAAAGGGCAAACCGAGUGCUUGCAUUCGGGGUUGAGGACUGCAACAUCCAAGAGAACGCUUUAGCAGAGUUACCUGGAAAGGUAAGCCAUAGAAAGUGAUAGCCUUGUAUGCGACAAGGCGUUCUCAGGUAGCAGUAUCCAGAGUAGGCCAGGACACGAGAAAUCCAGGUUGAAGCUGGGGAGACCACUCUCCAACCCUAAAUACUACUCUUUGAGCGAUAGCGAACAAGUACCGUGAGGGAAAGGUGAAAAGAACCGCAGUGAGCGGAGUGAAAUAGAACCUGAAACCAUCUGCUUACAAUCAUUCAGAGCCCUAUGAUUUAUCAGGGUGAUGGACUGCCUUUUGCAUAAUGAUCCUGCGAGUUGUGGUAUCUGGCAAGGUUAAGCGAAUGCGAAGCCGUAGCGAAAGCGAGUCUUAAUAGGGCGCUUGAGUCAGAUGCUGCAGACCCGAAGCUAAGUGAUCUAUCCAUGGCCAAGUUGAAACGCGUGUAAUAGCGCGUGGAGGACUGAACUCGUACCCAUUGAAACGGGUUGGGAUGAGCUGUGGAUAGGGGUGAAAGGCCAAACAAACUUAGUGAUAGCUGGUUCUCUUCGAAAUAUAUUUAGGUAUAGCCUCAAGUGAUAAUAAAAGGGGGUAGAGCACUGAUUGGGCUAGGGCUGCUCGCCGCGGUACCAAACCCUAUCAAACUUCGAAUACCUUUUAUCGUAUCUUGGGAGUCAGGCGGUGGGUGAUAAAAUCAAUCGUCAAAAGGGGAACAACCCAGACUACCAAAUAAGGUCCCUAAGUUCUAUUCUGAGUGGAAAAAGAUGUGUGGCUACUCAAACAACCAGGAGGUUGGCUUAGAAGCAGCCAUCCUUUAAAGAAAGCGUAACAGCUCACUGGUCUAGUGGUCAUGCGCUGAAAAUAUAACGGGGCUAAGAUAGACACCGAAUUUGUAGAUUGUGUUUGACACAGUGGUAGAAGAGCGUUCAUACCAGCGUUGAAGGUAUACCGGUAAGGAGUGCUGGAGCGGUAUGAAGUGAGCAUGCAGGAAUGAGUAACGAUAAGAUAUAUGAGAAUUGUAUCCGCCGUAAAUCUAAGGUUUCCUACGCGAUGGUCGUCAUCGUAGGGUUAGUCGGGUCCUAAGCCGAGUCCGAAAGGGGUAGGUGAUGGCAAAUUGGUUAAUAUUCCAAUACCGACUAUGGAGCGUGAUGGGGGGACGCAUAGGGUUAAGCGAGCUAGCUGAUGGAAGCGCUAGUCUAAGGGCGUAGAUUGGAGGGAAGGCAAAUCCACCUCUGUAUUUGAAACCCAAACAGGCUCUUUGAGUCCUUUUAGGACAAAGGGAGAAUCGCUGAUACCGUCGUGCCAAGAAAAGCCUCUAAGCAUAUCCAUAGUCGUCCGUACCGCAAACCGACACAGGUAGAUGAGAUGAGUAUUCUAAGGCGCGUGAAAGAACUCUGGUUAAGGAACUCUGCAAACUAGCACCGUAAGUUCGCGAUAAGGUGUGCCACAGCGAUGUGGUCUCAGCAAAGAGUCCCUCCCGACUGUUUACCAAAAACACAGCACUUUGCCAACUCGUAAGAGGAAGUAUAAGGUGUGACGCCUGCCCGGUGCUCGAAGGUUAAGAGGAUGCGUCAGUCGCAAGAUGAAGCGUUGAAUUGAAGCCCGAGUAAACGGCGGCCGUAACUAUAACGGUCCUAAGGUAGCGAAAUUCCUUGUCGGUUAAAUACCGACCUGCAUGAAUGGCGUAACGAGAUGGGAGCUGUCUCAACCAGAGAUUCAGUGAAAUUGUAGUGGAGGUGAAAAUUCCUCCUACCCGCGGCAAGACGGAAAGACCCCGUGGACCUUUACUACAACUUAGCACUGCUAAUGGGAAUAUCAUGCGCAGGAUAGGUGGGAGGCUUUGAAGUAAGGGCUUUGGCUCUUAUGGAGUCAUCCUUGAGAUACCACCCUUGAUGUUUCUGUUAGCUAACUGGCCUGUGUUAUCCACAGGCAGGACAAUGCUUGGUGGGUAGUUUGACUGGGGCGGUCGCCUCCUAAAAAGUAACGGAGGCUUGCAAAGGUUGGCUCAUUGCGGUUGGAAAUCGCAAGUUGAGUGUAAUGGCACAAGCCAGCCUGACUGUAAGACAUACAAGUCAAGCAGAGACGAAAGUCGGUCAUAGUGAUCCGGUGGUUCUGUGUGGAAGGGCCAUCGCUCAAAGGAUAAAAGGUACCCCGGGGAUAACAGGCUGAUCUCCCCCAAGAGCUCACAUCGACGGGGAGGUUUGGCACCUCGAUGUCGGCUCAUCGCAUCCUGGGGCUGGAGCAGGUCCCAAGGGUAUGGCUGUUCGCCAUUUAAAGCGGUACGCGAGCUGGGUUCAGAACGUCGUGAGACAGUUCGGUCCCUAUCUGCCGUGGGCGUAGGAAAGUUGAGGAGAGCUGUCCCUAGUACGAGAGGACCGGGAUGGACGUGUCACUGGUGCACCAGUUGUUCUGCCAAGAGCAUCGCUGGGUAGCUACACACGGAUGUGAUAACUGCUGAAAGCAUCUAAGCAGGAAGCCAACUCCAAGAUAAACUUUCCCUGAAGCUCGCACAAAGACUAUGUGCUUGAUAGGGUAGAUGUGUAAGCGCAGUAAUGCGUUUAGCUGACUACUACUAAUAGAGCGUUUGGCUUGUUU